This is a long non-coding RNA of Neoarius graeffei (lesser salmon catfish), 2209 nucleotides long. RefSeq lists it as uncharacterized. The transcript is spliced from 3 exons. Lineage: Eukaryota; Metazoa; Chordata; Actinopteri; Siluriformes; Ariidae. The record is from RefSeq and is a predicted model, not a curated record.
UUAAAGCAAUCUUUUUAUUGUUGCAAGUUAGAGCAUAAGCGGAUAUUGAUUCAAAUCGUGACUGAGGGGGAAAAGGUAUCAGUCAUAGCGUGACGGUUUUAGUUGCAGUGGCAUCGUGGCAGCAGUUGACUUUCUACCACUUUUACACUCUUUUCUGGAGACCAGAAAGACAAUAACAAUAGGAUUAUAUAGAUGAUGAAGGCCAGGAGAAGUACUGUACAUGGAGAAGAGACAAGCAAGAAAGGCACAAAGGAGAGAGGGAGACCUGAAACAUGAAGGCAAAACAGACACACAGAUGAAGAAAAACAGGGGUACAGACAAAGAAAUGGAAGACAGGGACAAAGAGAAGGUAUUCAUUUUAACAAUACAUUUUGGGUAUUUAUUUCUACUGUUCCAUGAUUGAUUUGCUGUUGUCUUGUGUCACAGUAGUGAAAGAUAAUAAGAGACAAGACGGAUGGACAACACCAACUUCUGCCAGUGAGCCCUUGCUGAACAAGUUUGGGUUCCAUACCUCUGCACACCACCUUUCUAUGAAGACUUUGGAGAAGCCAGCAACAAAUUAAGGACAUUUCAAUAAUGUACUGGCUGCAUCCUUUACAAACUCACAAUCCCUCUGUAUCUGUCUCUCAACCACUGGAUUGCCUGUCACUAAAUGGCUCUCUCUCUCACUACCUCCCUCACUCCCUCCCUCUCACACACAAACUCUCUCUCUCUCUCUCUCUCUCUCUCUCAUACAUUUAUCUUGGCAUCAGUCUUAUCCCAUUGAAAUGUAGAGGUUUCGAUAGAGUAAUAUCCAUUUGUGUUGUAGUUCUGAUAACAGUAAGAUCAUUUUGUAUCUCUGGUAAUGUGUAUCUGGUAAUAUGGAUCCAUUUGUGUUCUACUUCUGAUAAGAAUAAGAUCAUUUUAUAUCUGGUAAUAUGUAUCUGUGGAGUAAAAAUAAUAAUUGGAUUUCACAUAUCCUUGUUUUAUUAAAAUAUGGAGAUUGACUCUUAAAAUUGGCUCUCUCUCUCUCUCUACUGUCUCUUCUUCUGUUGUUUGCCUUGUCGCUCUCACUCUUUCUGGUUUGAUCUGAACAAUAAACACUGUCAGAAUUUUGGCAAAUGCUGGAGUAAUCUCAAACCUGUUUCACUGUGGAGCUUAUUUGGGGCACACUGUUAGUGGCAGUUUGCUAUCUUUUUUUCUGAAUUUACAGCAAGGAGAUAUGGCAUGUGCCAAGUAGGGAUGAACAUUAUUCUGUAUGUGUGUUUCAAGACUGACUUUUGAGGGCCCCAUGCCUGUAUUUCGCCGAGGGCCCCAAAAUAGCUAGAACCGCCCCUGCUCCCAACCACACACGCCCGCACACACACAAGGCGUCUGGUUGGGGAGAGAGCUCUCUUCCUCUGCUCUCUCUCUCUCCUUAUAUAGGGCGUGGUCACUGGGGAAGACAUACAAACACAUGUUAACUGACAUCAGGUGCAGUGAUUCUGCCACUUACCUUCCCUGACUCUGCCCUCCGGUCACAAACCGACACUUGACCAUGCCCCCGCUGCCACACCCGGCUUGCACUCUGCAAAAUGUAUACUGUUCUUACUCAUCGGGUGACAUUGGGCAUACCUAACAACCUGUGUUUUCUCUCUAUUCCCCCCCCCCGUCUGUUCCUCUGAGUUACAUGUCAAUCCUGAGAUCAAGAUGCUGAACCUCCUCUGCUCCUCAGACCUGCCUGAUCCAUCCUGGUGCCCUGUGUCUGGUUGGAUUCUCAUCACAUCGCUCCUGUGGAGGACGGCCCCAUAUGGACAGUUGAAAGUCACACCUGGAGGACGCUCUGGACUCUUACAGUAAUGCUUUUAUGGCUGAGGACUACAGUUGACUUGCUAACUUUAGGACUGCAGUUGUCAUGAACAGUUUUGCACUCAAGUUUCCAUCAAUGAAGAGUUUAUAUCAUCAAUGAAACUGACCAUGUUAAAACUGCUAAAAAUGUUAUAAUCACAUUGUCUGUUGUCGCCCAAAUGAGGAUGGGUUCCCUUUUGAGUCUGGUUCCUCUCGAGGUUUCUUCCUCAUGUCAUCUGAGGGAGUUUUUCCUUGCUACUGUCACCACAGGCUUCAUCAUUGGGGAUAGAUUAGGGAUAAAAUUAGCUCAUGUUUAAAGUCAUUAAAAUUUUGUAAAGCUGCUUUGCAACAAUGUCUAUUGUUAAAAGCGCUAUAAAAAAUAAACUUGACUUGACUAUGAAAA